GGCUGUAUAGUGUAGUGGUUCAGCACACGGGAUUUUGACUUCACGUAUUACGUAAGCUUCCCGUGACCCCGGUUCGAACCCGGGUACGGCCU
Molecule: transfer RNA, 92 nt
Filed under: Rhizoctonia solani
Lineage: Eukaryota; Fungi; Basidiomycota; Agaricomycetes; Cantharellales; Ceratobasidiaceae
Description: tRNA-Gln
Rfam family: tRNA
About the family: Transfer RNA (tRNA) molecules are approximately 80 nucleotides in length. Their secondary structure includes four short double-helical elements and three loops (D, anti-codon, and T loops). Further hydrogen bonds mediate the characteristic L-shaped molecular structure. tRNAs have two regions of fundamental functional importance: the anti-codon, which is responsible for specific mRNA codon recognition, and the 3' end, to which the tRNAs corresponding amino acid is attached (by aminoacyl-tRNA synthetases). tRNAs cope with the degeneracy of the genetic code in two manners: having more than one tRNA (with a specific anti-codon) for a particular amino acid; and 'wobble' base-pairing, i.e. permitting non-standard base-pairing at the 3rd anti-codon position.
Source: RNAcentral